CCGCCGGCGACCGGCGCACGGGUGAGUAACACGUAUGCAACCUGGCCGUGACAGAUGGAUAACCGGGAGAAAUCCCGCCUAAUACAACAUAAUGCCGGGAGGGGACAUCCCCUGCCGGCCAAAGGGGCGACCCCGGUCACGGAUGGGCAUGCGGCGCAUUAGGUAGUUGGUGGGGCAACGGCCCACCAAGCCGACGAUGCGUAGGGGUUCUGAGAGGAACGGUCCCCCACAUUGGAACUGAGACACGGUCCAAACUCCUACGGAAGGCAGCAG
RNAcentral lists this ribosomal RNA (273 nucleotides) under uncultured bacterium. RNAcentral's name for it is "partial 16S ribosomal RNA". It matches the Rfam family "Bacterial small subunit ribosomal RNA", at positions 85 to 354 of the family's 1533-position model. The record is from RNAcentral.